UGACGCUCCGACUAGCCUCCAACGAAUUCUCCAAGCAUGACAUUUGUCCUCAUAUGCAUCCAAUGUUCCACAUUCAUUCCACCCACAUGCCUCCCACAUCCUGCUGAGACCACCUGAAGAGAGAAACCAUCAUUCUAAACCAAGCUUCAUCCCUCUGUUGUGUGGGGAAGGUCUUUGAAGAAGGAACGAUAGGAGGAGGAAUGAGAUUCAAGGCUGAGCUCUCUCAUGGACUCUGAUAUAUAAGAUAAAGAAAACUCUAGAAAAAGGAAAAGAGGGUGAACUAAGGUGAAGAAAAGAAGGAAGGCUCCCUAUAAAUAAAGCCCUUAGAGGAUUUUUAGAAGAGAAGAGAAAUUAAAGCAGCAGAUACAGAGGAAGGGAAGGUAGAGAUGGGAAAGUAUGUGGAGAUAUUGGAUUUAGGGGUGAUGACCGUUACUCAUUUCAACUCUCAUUGUCCUUAGACGGCAAGGAUGUACUACCACCCUCCUUCCAACUCUAACGACAACCACCAAAUCCACAGCAACUUCCUCCUUCAAAGCGGUGGCACCAUCGGUUGCGAUGCAGCCUUAAAAGUCUCUACUUGGUAGGGUAGUUGCAGUGCGAAGGCUGUGGGUGUCAACCCUACAAACUUGAUUCUUAAUUCCAUUGUAUGACCCAAUACCCGAAGAAAAAAGAAAAAUCAAUCAUCGUUUGAGAAGGGGUUUUAUCAAACUGAUUUUUACCCCUUUCUUCUUCCUUUAUCAAAAGUUCCACUAUUUCUUGUUGAAUAAUAAUCUGAUUUGUGGGACAGAGCUAUUGAGUGAUUUCUAGUUGUUCUUGUUCAAGUCUUAUGGGUAUACUUCGAUUGAAUUUAAUCUAUUUUCGUUGUUGGGUUUU
Molecule: long non-coding RNA, 873 nt
Organism: Macadamia integrifolia
Lineage: Eukaryota; Viridiplantae; Streptophyta; Magnoliopsida; Proteales; Proteaceae
Exons: 2
Source: RefSeq, a predicted model, not a curated record